CUUGAUGCCUCAUUUGCAUACAGUGUUCACAGUGCUCCAUGAGCACAGAAUUCCGAUGGGUCCACAACGAAAGGGACUUUAUGAUACUGAAAGCAAGCAUGAGGUACUGUGUCAGGAAGGUACUGGGCCAAAUGAUGAAGACUUGACUUUAUGGACCCUAAUUCUGCUUUGGUUGACUCUAAUCUUCAUUUCCGGAACAUUUGAUCUGGGCUUGAUAAAUGGACACACAGAUGAAGGAAGAAACAAAUGAAGUAUGGCACCUAUGAAGGCUGGAGCUGGGCCUGCUCUACUGUUGUCAGUGAGAAACCAACUGGUAAAGAAACCAGCCAAGGCAAUGUGAAGGAUUCCAAGAGAGGCAAUAUGGAUGAAACCAUUUAUUAGAUUUAUAAGAGCUGAAGGAAAGUGGUAAAGCUAUCCAUCUUCUAUACUUUAUUGAGAACAGGACCAAUGACUCAGACUAUCAGGACAGUAUCUCCAAGACAGAAUUGAAAUCCUAAAGUAAGCAGAGAAUAAGUGCAUACAUUUUAGGAGAAGAGGGAUCAAAGGCAGAAGGAAGAAAUGCAGGGGUGUCAGCUGUGACCCUCGAAGGAAAGGGAUCACCCUCUUUCUGACCCUAUACCACCUUCAGCAGGGAUGAAGGCAGUCAGAGAAAACUUAGUUAAAAGAUUUCUAAACUGCUUUGCUGAUUUGAUCUGGGGCCCUGGAGUGCCAACAUCCUGUGAUAGCGGCUGAUUGUUGAUGCCUGGGAGGAUACAGCAGUGACGAUCCAAAUUUACAAGACUCAACAUGGUUUUCAAAACUUCCUUUUAAAAAAGAUGUUCCUGAGUUCUGGAAUCUGAACAAAAUAUGUCUGGUUAUUAUAUAAUUCUAAUGGUCCUUGUGGAUGCUACCAUUAGAGUUCAGUUAGUGUCUCAUCUAUCACUGUAAUAUUUGUAUUGUAACACUAAUCGUGGCAAAGUAUGAUUUGAUAAAUGCUCAUUCUCAAAUCUUUU
Molecule: long non-coding RNA, 992 nt
Filed under: Homo sapiens (human)
Lineage: Eukaryota; Metazoa; Chordata; Mammalia; Primates; Hominidae
Description: long non-coding RNA NONHSAT152814.1
Source: RNAcentral